Molecule: long non-coding RNA, 1707 nt
Organism: Populus nigra (black poplar)
Lineage: Eukaryota; Viridiplantae; Streptophyta; Magnoliopsida; Malpighiales; Salicaceae
Exons: 2
Source: RefSeq, a predicted model, not a curated record
CAUAACCAAAUAAGAAAUAACAAAGAAUCCUGCUUUACUUUCCUGGACUUAAAUUUGGUGGAAAUACAUGUUCAUUUCGAUAUUUUUAUCAGUAAUUUGGGCAAGGAAUCCUUGUUUUACUUUCCAGGACCACUGCAAUUGCCUUCUUCUGCUCAGUUGAGGUAUGUGGGCUAGAAAUUUGUCACAAACAAAGAUCAUUUGCAUUGUUGUGGUGACAAGCCUAGAGGUAAUCCUUCAUGAACAAAGAUAAGAGCUGGUGAAUUUGAACAUGAAACUGGGUUUAUGAUAAUAUAGGUCUUCACCUGUGCUUUCUUAAUUUGUAAUUGAAAAGGGAGGAGGGCAUCUCCAUUAUGUUUCUACUUUCUUUGUGGGAUUGGCUUAGUCACAAAGCUUUUGUCUUUGAUCAUUUCUUUGGUUUUUGUGUAUUCUUCGUGUGACAUUCCUUUUCUAUGCCGGUUGUGAAACGUACCGUCAAGGGUUCAAUCAAAAGAGGUGAGGCUUGAUAGGGGUUUUGUGGUGGGGUUCUGCAGGGCAGCUGGUCUCCCAGGAGAUAAUGGUGCGAAUUGUGUGCAAAAUGAAAUUGUCAUAUGGCCCCCUUGCCCUCUUCAGCUUGUUUUUGGUGGAAUGGAUGGAAUGGAUGGACUGUGGUUUUUACAGAUGCCCUCCCUAGUUAUGUAGGCUUCCUUCGCAUACUUGUAUAUAAGGCGGGUUGAUGUUUGCUUCAGCUUCUACUCUAUCACUCCUUCCAAGUAUUUUUCUUGGAAGAGGUAAGAGGGCAUAAUCAGAGGGUUGUUUUUUGAAAAGCAGCAGAAUCCAUGGCUUUUAACCUGCCUUUUCGAGUACCUAAGACUCGUGCGAUUCUGUUUGAUUACAUGAUCUGACUUGUAGAAGCAGAACUAGUGGACUACAACGCUAGCCAUUAUUGUACAUACUAGUGUACGAUGGAGAAGUUUGAUUUCAUCCACCAUGUGGCUGGUUAGAAAAUGACGUUUCAGAGGUAGCUGCAUGUGAUCGACUAAAUUGCUGGAUACUAGCCCACGAACUAUGAACCAGUUGACUGCAGGUGCUUUGAAAAUUCAAUAAAUAUCAUCAGCGGCUGCUGCAAGAUGGAAGGUUAAACACUUGGAGCAUAGCUCAUAGAAUUGCGACUCGUCAGCCCCAUCAUAGAAGGUUUGAGUGACACUAUCCCAGAUUUUCUUGGCUGAUGACAGGUCUAUAAAUAAACCAAUAAGAUGAGGCUCCAUGGUUUUCAACAACCAUCCUCGUACCACUGCAUCUUCAGUGCACCACUUUGAGUAACCAGAAUUUUCUUCUUCCACUCUAGCAUUUUGCCCAGUUAAGUAGCCAAGUUUGUUCAAUCCAGCAGCGUGCAGUUCAAGCAUACGUGACCACAUUUUGAAGUUUGUCUCAUUCAAUUUAAAUCCAAAGGGUAAGGUGUUUAGGUUAGGUGUUUCAGCAGAGAUUGAUGUCUGGUUUAUGGGGAUAAUAGAAGUAUUCGUGUCAUUCAUGGUUGGUCCCUUGUUUCAAGACCAAUUCCCAGGUGAAGAUUAAUGUGGCGGCUGAAAAGUUAAAGGAAGAUUUUAGCUUUAACCUUGCUCUGAUACCAUGUUUACUUUUAAGGCUUAGGGUUGGAUGUAUCUUCUGCUUUUUAUUCUUCUCCUGUGGAGGGAUGCCUUAUAUAGGCAAAUAUAUAUGUCGGUUACAUCU